UUGCUUCUUUGCUGACGAGUGGCGGACGGGUGAGUAAUGUCUGGGAAACUGCCUGAUGGAGGGGGAUAACUACUGGAAACGGUAGCUAAUACCGCAUAACGUCGCAAGACCAAAGAGGGGGACCUUCGGGCCUCUUGCCAUCGGAUGUGCCCAGAUGGGAUUAGCUAGUAGGUGGGGUAACGGCUCACCUAGGCGACGAUCCCUAGCUGGUCUGAGAGGAUGACCAGCCACACUGGAACUGAGACACGGUCCAGACUCCUACGGGAGGCAGCAGUGGGGAAUAUUGCACAAUGGGCGCAAGCCUGAUGCAGCCAUGCCGCGUGUAUGAAGAAGGCCUUCGGGUUGUAAAGUACUUUCAGCGGGGAGGAAGGGAGUAAAGUUAAUACCCUUGCUCAUUGACGUUACCCGCAGAAGAAGCACCGGCUAACUCCGUGCCAGCAGCCGCGGUAAUACGGAGGGUGCAAGCG
Molecule: ribosomal RNA, 467 nt
Filed under: uncultured bacterium
Lineage: Bacteria
Description: bacterial SSU rRNA
Rfam family: Bacterial small subunit ribosomal RNA
Source: RNAcentral